RNAcentral lists this long non-coding RNA (1433 nucleotides) under Homo sapiens (human). RNAcentral describes it as "HSALNT0217913". Lineage: Eukaryota; Metazoa; Chordata; Mammalia; Primates; Hominidae. The record is from RNAcentral.
UAACAGCCAUUAUUAUGAUUCCCUGGCAACCAUCAGUCUGUGCCCCUUCUAUAUACAUUAUAUUGAUAAUUGACAUGCACAGAGUGACCUGACGCAAUGUGAAAAGCAUUCUCUGUUUUUGAUGCAUAAAGUAGAUUGGAGGAGGCAAGGACAAAUAUAAGAAUAUCAGCCAAGGGAAGAAAUGAUAGUCAAAGGGUGAACAUUGCUGAGUGAGCAAGCUGGAAGCCAUGGACAGGGCAUGGGCUGUUUGUGGAUUUGCUAUUUUGGAGGAGAACAGCUUCUGGUGAAGACAAAAUCCUAGAACCUGUGACGUGAACUCUUACUUACAAAUGCGCCAGGAUGUGGAUUGGAUAAGGCAGAGCUCCUCUGAAGAGGCAGGCAUGAGGGUCAGAGUGGCCGAUAUCUACUUCCUGACCCUAAGGUGGUCGCUGAACCUGGCCAUGGAACCCCAGGCACCUCAGAAGGGACACAAGAGAACACUCAGGGAACCAGAUGGCUCUGAGACCCCCUGAGGCCUUCUUCCCAUUCCAACACCAUAUCUCUUCAAACCUCAGUGGCCCAGCUGCAAGGGCAUUCAAAGGACAAUAAGAUCUUCUGAUCAUUUUUUGUGUUGGAUAGGGCAGCAUGAUAAUGUGACCCAUUACUGUGGGUAAUGACAUAGAGAAAGAAAUUCACUGGGAGUGAGCUGUGUGAGGAUGCUGAAGACCUCUGAAUGGUGAGAGUGCAUUUCAAAGUUCACAAGUUGCUUUUUCACGCAUCACCUCCCUCACAACAAUCCCGUGUAUAAUCCCCACCUUCCGGAUGAGGAAACGGAUGCAGGAAUAUUGAGCAGCCUGUCCCAGGUUACAGAGCUGGAAGGAGUUGCCAGUGGAGGCCAGGUGUCUUGAUUCCAAGCCUACUGUUUUUCCUACUGUCUGUAUCACAGCUGCCUGCCUUGACUAAUCUGACGCAGACAAAGUCUGGAAGGAAUAGAGUUGACAUCCGAAUAGCUGUAAAUCCGCAGCGGGGCAGGCAGUCUAUGUUAGCAUCUAAAAGGCUGCAGAGGUAGCGGAGGGAAAGCUGAAUGCGGUGUUCAUGGCCACAGUUUCCUUUCAUUCUAUAAAGAGUGUGCUUGUCAAGCACCAUCUGGAAGAUGAUAUGCAGCCCCUUCUCCGUGACGAAUGAAGACACGCAGAGGCAGAUUCCAGAACAGCAUCUACAUCUUUGUUCAUUGAUGUCAGACACAAAAUUGAGUUGUUUAAAAACUUGCUCUCAAAUACAGAACAAAAGUCAUGGUGCAGGAAGGUCAUAUGGAACUUGGACGAGCCAAGAAGGCGAGGUUUUAAUCUGAAAUUGUAAACAAACAUGCUCUGGUAGAGAUUUUAAAAACCUUUUUAUGGAAAGACAAAACAGACACAGAAAUCCACCCAAAUCAAGUGUGGAGCUGGAUAAGU